This is a long non-coding RNA of Eubalaena glacialis (North Atlantic right whale), 1449 nucleotides long. RefSeq lists it as uncharacterized. The transcript has 4 exons. NCBI's taxonomy places the organism in Eukaryota, Metazoa, Chordata, Mammalia, Artiodactyla, Balaenidae. The record is from RefSeq and is a predicted model, not a curated record.
UGACUGGCACGUGAUCGCCGUCUCCUGUGCCGCGCCGGAAAGCUUAGAAAAAAAUUUCUGCCAAACCGAGGAAGCCGAUGUUUGGAGGCGGGAGUUCACCAGAAUACGGUUUCUUAUUUCCAUAGCUAAAGCUAUCCUUGUGAUGUGACGUUAUAUUAUGAUUCCUGCUCAUAGAAUUUAGAAUAGAACCUCUGCUUUGUUAGAAAUAGGGAAACCCAAGAUGGAGUCACAGUGGCCAGUGUGGCACCCAUCUUGAUUGUUUCUAAAGAUCUGAUGUAAGAUUUGGCAUAUGUAAAUUAAGAUAACUGGAGUGUGAAGUCAAAUAAGUAAGGCUCCUUGCUGCUGGGGUUGUAACUGUUGCACCCUAGGGAUUGUACCUCACAAAAGACAGGGUCUGAGUGCGGUUGCUGGAGAAGGGUCUCGAUGGACCGCAUGCGCUACGCUCACUGGAGACUGUCCGCGUCGGAAGCUGCCGGAGUAGAAGCCCAGGCUCCAUCCUGCACCAUGAGGGGCUCUGCAUGUGCAUGGCCACCCAGCCCCCAAGUGCAAGGAUAGUCACCCGCUGUCCUGUGAGCAGUCACCCCCAAUAGCCCUAAAGGGAGGACACAUGCUGGGAAGAGACUGGCUCAGAUGGUCCUGAUCUGAGCUUGGAGUGAUGUUCUGGAGUCCCCGUUUCUCCAAUUUAGCCCUGAUGCACAGUGAUACUGACUUCCGGUCCUUGGAAACCACCUGUCAGUCACCAGGGCCAUGACUUGCUAAGGGAAUAUGAAAGGCUGUAAGAAGUUUUGGCAUUUCUUGUUCGGGUGGAUUUUCCUUAAGGAAAAGUCUCAUGAAAAGAAGAAUCCUCAACAUUUCUGCUGUAGAACCACAGCAACUCUAUUCAUUAGCUCUCUUGAGUGCUAUUAGGUUUUUUUUUUUCUUUUGUUCACUAGUUUCACGAAGAUUCUACCUUACCAUCAAAAAGAAUGUUUUAAAAACCAAAUUUUAUCCCACUCCCUCGCAGUGAGUUAUGGGCUCAUGGGGAAAGGAUCCCCCACUUUUGACUGUUCUAAGAAAGAGUGAGAAAUACUCUGGGAUUAAGCAUUUGAAAAAAUACUCCUGGGACUUCCCUGGUGGUCCAGUGGGUAAGACUCUGCACUCCCAAUGCAGGGGGCCCGGCUUCGAUCCCUGGUCGGGGAGCUAGAUCCUGCAUGCAUGCCUCAACUAAGAGUUCGCAUGCCUCAACUAAGACCCAGUGCACCCAAAAUAAAUAGAUAUUUGAAAAAACACUCAAAGAAAUACAUUUUUCAAUCAUUUUAAAAUAACACUUUUUCUCAUUACAAAAGUACUACACAUUCACCAUGGAAAGUUUGGAAGAUGCUGAGAAUUAAAAUGAAGAAAAUGUAAAUUAUCUAUAAAUUUAUAACCACCUAUUAACACCUGUUAACAUUUUGCCUUUUAAAAAGUGAU